Molecule: ribosomal RNA, 241 nt
Filed under: uncultured bacterium
Lineage: Bacteria
Description: partial 16S ribosomal RNA
Rfam family: Bacterial small subunit ribosomal RNA
Source: RNAcentral
AACCGGCGAACGGGUGCGUAACACGUGAGCAACCUGCCUAGGUGUGGGGGAUAGCCGGCCCAACGGCCGGGUAAUACCGCAUACGUUCUUUUCGAGGCAUUUCGAAAAGAGGAAACCUUCGGGGCACUAUGAGGGGCUCGCGGCCUAUCAGCUAGUUGGUGAGGUAACGGCUCACCAAGGCGACGACGGGUAGCUGGUCUGGGAGGAUGGCCAGCCACAUUGGGACUGAGAAACGGCCCAG